GCCUGUAGCUCAGUUGGUUAGAGCGCACGCCUGAUAAGUGUCCCUCAGAUGGCGCGAAUCCCGGCAAGAAACCGUCUAAAUUAUUACAGGACUGCACGAUCUGCCGUUCUUGCCGUGGGGCACCA
RNAcentral lists this transfer RNA (125 nucleotides) under Gammaproteobacteria bacterium. RNAcentral's name for it is "tRNA-Ile". RNAcentral also lists the same sequence under 1 other name. The record is from RNAcentral. Lineage: Bacteria; Pseudomonadati; Pseudomonadota; Gammaproteobacteria.